Molecule: non-coding RNA, 2873 nt
Organism: Rattus norvegicus (Norway rat)
Lineage: Eukaryota; Metazoa; Chordata; Mammalia; Rodentia; Muridae
Source: RefSeq, a predicted model, not a curated record
GAAGAGAAUUUAGGCUUCUAGGGUGAGACUCCUGCUUGGUUCUCUUUGCUCUGUGUAUCUAGGACUUGGCUGAAUUUUUGUUUUGUUUUUCUUUUCCUUUUGUAAAUAAACAUCAAGCCUUGUGUUCCUCCUGCUGGGUAGACUUAAGGCAGGUAGUGGCACAGGCCUCUGAUCUCAGCACUCUGGGAGGCAGAGGCAGGUGGCAGAAGCAGGCAGGUGCUCUGUGAGUUCCAGGACAGAUAGGACAACACGAAGAGAUUUUUGUCUUGAAAAGCCAGAAAACAAACAAAAAAAGGGAAAAAAGGAAAAAAUCUCAGGCUUUAAACCCCUUGGUCAGGUUAUGUUUCACAUAAAAACAACUGGCCACAAACUAGAAUUCAUAUGACUUUGAGCACAGACACCAUCUACUCCAGCAGUGGACUGACCUCCAAUGGCUAACUUGCACCUAUCUUGCCUCAAUGCCCACUUUCUGCCAAAGUGAGAAUGCUAACAUGGGUUUGCUAUUGUUCUAGGCACAGCAGAAGACUGACUGCCCUUCUUGCGGUCAAACAUAAAGCCCAUGAAAAGCAGGGCCAAAUGCUCGCACACAUUGGGAAGCUUCCUUCUCUGUCUUUAUACCGACCGACUUGGGGAUUGUACGGGCCAGUUGGUAAUUCAGUUCAACAGGACUUAGUAGAUAAGAGUUGGUUCAAACUUGGGACCUCUGACCCCGAGUAGUUUUAGGUAUAUAUUAAGCACUGCACAAUUUGAUAAAAUCUUUUUUCCUGGCUAUAAAAACUCAAUCCCAUGUGCACAAUAACAUUUAAGACAUGACUACAAUGAAGCUUUUUUAAACAGUACCUGUUAUAUCAUCCAUAAAAGUGGGUUCUAUAGAUUAAUGAGAACAUUCCAUACAAAGAUAGGUUCUAUACAUUGACAAGCUAACGGUAAGGGUGUAGUAAGAGGAUAUAGUGUUCUCACAGAUAACAGGCUAUCUUUUUUUUUUCUUUUUCUUUUUUUCGGAGCUGGGGACCGAACCCAGGGCCUUGCGCUUCCUAGGUAAGCGCUCUACCACUGAGCUAAAUCCCCAACCCCAACAGGUUAUCUUUUAAGGGACAACUCUGUGUGCUUAACAUUCCUGGCUGCACUAACACUUAUCUGGGAUCUUGAGGAUCUCCAUGAAGCUCUGUAAGGAACGGUGUCCUAGAAAGUCCACUCCAGAUGGUGACAACAGUUCCACCCUCCUAGUCAUUAGGUCUCUGUGAGUGCCAAUGUGUUUCGAAUGGAAGACAAGAAGAAAAAAUGAAAUACCUUGAAGACAAGUCUGUUCCCUUUCCUGGCCGUCUCUUCUACUGGUCCAUCCCCUGAAGAAGGCUGAAAUCUGAUUCAGAAGCCUGAACAUACUGUCAGCACUAUGGGUCAGCUUAAGUCUGCAGGCAAUCAAGAAGCAGGCUAUCAUGUAUCCAAGCCAAAUCUAGGAGUGCGUAUGCAGCGGAGGACCACCUGGAACUUCCGAUCCUUCUGCCUCAGUGACAAUGGAAGAAGAUGCAUGCUGGCUGCAGCUGCCACCGCCCCCCCCCAUGAGCUAAGGUCCUGAACAUGGUGAAGAGAAAUAGAAAAGUAACUCUCACGCCCUUUUCUAAGUAAUGUGGUCCCCUCUGGAUCCUGACAGUAAGAAGUUCAAGCUCUUCCGAUCAUCAUGCUACCUCCAAAGAAAUCUUAUAUACCACGAAGCUUGAAAUUGUCUUGAGACCGAGGAAGGUUCAGCUAGGAAGGCCUAAAGAGAACUUAUUGUCUAGACCCAGAAGGUACCAGGUUACUUAGAAAAGUGUGUGACAGUUACAUUGACCUAACAGAACACAUGUUGCACUUACAGUUUGGAUACUGUGUGUCUGUGGGAAAAAUGGGAUAAAGGGAGAACAGAAGAUCUCAGAGAAGUGGAAUGGAGAAGGGAAGGGAUUACACUGUGGGGAGAGCAACAGUCAGAGACAGUGAGACAGAAAUAAGAUCUUGCUAUGUAGCUCAGGCUGACUCGAAAUUUACCAUAUAGCUCAGGCUGAAUGCAGACUUCUGGUCCUCCAACCUGAGUGUCCUGGGGGCUGUAGUUAUGGCAUCUGCCUGGGAUAGUUUGAUGAAGGGCUGAUGCUAGCUAGCUACAGGACAACAUCUUCACGUGUCCAUACUUCUUAGUUGUGCAGAGUGUAUGGUGUAAUCACAAAGAUAAAAUGUGGAGUAAGAAUCUCUUUUAGGACCUGGAAAGAUGGUUUGUGGUUAAGAGCACUGGCUUCUCUUUCAGAGGACCCAGAACCCAUUCAGAGGUUCACAGCCCUCUGUAACUAUAGCUACAGGGGAUCCAACACUCUUUUCUGGUCUCCAUUGGAACUUCGAACCUAGGUAUUAUGUGUGUAUAUGUAUGCAUUUAUUCACACAAACAUAUAUAUGAAUAACAAAGAUAUAUGAGUAAUACAUAUGCAAAACAUUUAGACAUCAAAUAAAAUGUUUGGAAAGAACCUUGGCUAAAAGGUAAUUUAAUCAGAGAAGAUACUUUCUACAUAUAGGGGAGAGCUGGUACACCUUAACCAAUGAUACUAAUUUGUCUAAAAUGCACGUAUGUAAUGUAUCUGUGUGACAGACUGGUUUUUGUCUAGCAUGUGCAGUAUUGUCUAAGGGCCAGAGGGUGAAUAUCACACUGAAUUAUUAUACUCCUACAUGUAAAAUGAAUGAGAGAAGACACAUACAAUCAGUGUUUGUGAUGGAGUUACAGGCAAUGGACUAUUUUUUCUGUAUUAUUUUCUGUAUGUUCCUAGAUCUCUGUGAAACCUGUACAAUUUUUAUAACUUAAAAGAAAAUGCAACUUUAAGGCUUUUUAUGUUAAUUAAAAAGUGGUUUGAGAA